RNAcentral lists this unclassified non-coding RNA (390 nucleotides) under Melitaea cinxia (Glanville fritillary). RNAcentral's name for it is "misc RNA ENSMCXG00005016820.1". The record is from RNAcentral. Lineage: Eukaryota; Metazoa; Arthropoda; Insecta; Lepidoptera; Nymphalidae.
CUUGUACGUACGCGUACUACAGCUGUAUUGCGCUUGUAGCCUGUCAUUUUUCUGAAGCUUUAAGGUUGCAGGUUAACCGUAAAGUAUUUAUCUAAGAUCUUUAAAAGAUUGUUGAUGCUGUGAUCUCAAGGGCACCGAUUUAUCCCCUUCGUGUUUUCUCCAUUCAACGUGACGUUGACGAAAUCAUCUGUGCUACUUUACAAUGGUUGAAAGCCAAAAAAAUUAAAUACACUGCAUUAUAGCACACAAAAAUUGUUAUCAGGUAUUUAUAAACGGUUUACACUCAAAGCCACUCAAAAUUUAUAACGCUUUACACUGGAUGGCCCUCUGUAGGAUUUUUUCCGAAAAGACACGCAAUACGCCCGUAUGGAACCUUAACCAAUAUCAAAA